Molecule: ribosomal RNA, 246 nt
Filed under: uncultured bacterium
Lineage: Bacteria
Description: partial 16S ribosomal RNA
Rfam family: Bacterial small subunit ribosomal RNA
Source: RNAcentral
CUAGCCGUAAACGGUGUGCACUUGGUGUGGGAGGAUUUAUCCCCUUCCGUGCCGUAGCUAACGCGUUAAGUGCACCGCCUGGGGAGUACGGCCGCAAGGCUAAAACUCAAAGAAAUUGACGGGGGCCCGCACAAGCGGUGGAGCAUGUGGCUUAAUUCGAUGCAACGCGAAGAACCUUACCAAGGCUUGACAUGCAAUUGCACGUCCAGCGAAAGCUGGACUCCUUCGAGGGUAUUGCACAGGUGC